UCAUUACCGAGUGAGGGCCCUCUGGGUCCACCUCCCACCCGUGUUUAUUUUACCUUGUUGCUUCGGCGGGCCCGCCUUAACUGGCCGCCGGGGGGCUUACGCCCCCGGGCCCGCGCCCGCCGAAGACACCCUCGAACUCUGUCUGAAGAUUGUAGUCUGAGUGAAAAUAUAAAUUAUUUAAAACUUUCAACAACGGAUCUCUUGGUUCCGGCAUCGAUGAAGAACGCAGCGAAAUGCGAUACGUAAUGUGAAUUGCAAAUUCAGUGAAUCAUCGAGUCUUUGAACGCACAUUGCGCCCCCUGGUAUUCCGGGGGGCAUGCCUGUCCGAGCGUCAUUGCUACCCUCAAACACAGCUUGUGUGUUGGGCCCC
This 370-nucleotide ribosomal RNA is filed under the name Penicillium sp. GP2. Its description in RNAcentral is "partial 18S ribosomal RNA". The stretch from base 182 to 334 matches the Rfam family "5.8S ribosomal RNA". Lineage: Eukaryota; Fungi; Ascomycota; Eurotiomycetes; Eurotiales; Aspergillaceae. The record is from RNAcentral.